This is a long non-coding RNA of Phascolarctos cinereus (koala), 137 nucleotides long. RefSeq lists it as uncharacterized. The record is from RefSeq and is a predicted model, not a curated record. Lineage: Eukaryota; Metazoa; Chordata; Mammalia; Diprotodontia; Phascolarctidae.
CAAACAUUAUCUCAUUUGAUUCUCACAACAACCCUGGGAGAUUUGUGAUUUUAUUGCUGUGGAGGAAGCCAAUGAGGAAAAUGCCCCACCCCCACAAUGCACUUUGUGUACUUUUUAAUAAAUUGAAGUUUUAGAAA